RNAcentral lists this unclassified non-coding RNA (241 nucleotides) under soil metagenome. RNAcentral's name for it is "partial contains small subunit ribosomal RNA, internal transcribed spacer 1, and 5.8S ribosomal RNA". The record is from RNAcentral.
UUUCCGUAGGUGAACCUGCGGAAGGAUCAUUACCGAGUUGAUUCGGGCUCCGGCCCGAUCCUCCCACCCUUUGUGUACCUACCUCUGUUGCUUUGGCGGGCCGCGGUCCUCCGCGGCCGCCCCCCUCCCCGGGGGGGUGGCCAGCGCCCGCCAGAGGACCAUCAAACUCCAGUCAGUAAACGAUGCAGUCUGAAAAACAUUUAAUAAACUAAAACUUUCAACAACGGAUCUCUUGGUUCUG